GUGGGGAAUCUUGCGCAAUGGGCGAAAGCCUGACGCAGCCAUGCCGCGUGAAUGAUGAAGGUCUUAGGAUUGUAAAAUUCUUUCACCGGGGACGAUAAUGACGGUACCCGGAGAAGAAGCUCCGGCUAACUUCGUGCCAGCAGCCGCGGUAAUACGAAGGGGGCUAGCGUUGCCCGGAAUUACUGGGCGUAAAGGGCGCGUAGGCGGACAGCUUAGUCAGAGGUGAAAGCCCAGGGCUCAACCUUGGAAUUGCCUUUGAUACUGGCUGUCUUGAGUUUGGGAGAGGUGGGUGGAACUCCGAGUGGGGAGGUGAAAGUCGUAGAUAUUCGGAAGAACACCAGUGGCGAAGGCGACUCACUGGCCCAAUACUGGCGCUGAGGCGCGAAAGCGUGGGGAGCAAACAGGAUUAGAUACCCCAGUAGUCC
RNAcentral lists this ribosomal RNA (425 nucleotides) under uncultured bacterium. Its description in RNAcentral is "partial 16S ribosomal RNA". It matches the Rfam family "Bacterial small subunit ribosomal RNA", at positions 354 to 796 of the family's 1533-position model. The record is from RNAcentral.